UAAUUUUUGAUCUUAAUCACAUCAAUAAAAUCUUUUAAACUCAUCACUUAAGUUUUUAAUAUCUUUGCAUAUACUGAAGUUAAAGUUCAACACUAUUAUACUUUGUUGAAUAAUAACUAUAACAAAAAAUAAUAGUUAAGAGUUUUCCACUUGACUGGCAUAACAUUGAUGAAAUGAGAGUAAAUGAUUUUCUCAUUCAAAAUUUCUGGCUAUGACAACCAGUCCCAGCCAUAAUGUAAAGACUUUUAUUUUUGAACUACAGUGUAACAGACUUACGAAUAGAAGGAAACGGGAAAUUUUCAAAUGUCUCUUGAUAGUUUUCGAAGACUUUACUUUGUAGUUUGUACGUAGACACCAUCAAUGCAUCAUUUGGUGCUUUUGAAUAACUAUAAAUAAAAAAAAUAGAAGUCAAUAAAAAAACAACGCAAAUGUAUCUUCCUUUAAAAAAAAAAACAACGCAAAUGUAUCUAUCGUCAAAUAUCGACAUCAGUUACCAAAGAUAUUUCCUCUCUUUAAUUAUUUUAUUAAAAUUUAUAAAGAGAAG
RNAcentral lists this long non-coding RNA (544 nucleotides) under Brassica rapa (field mustard). RNAcentral's name for it is "long non-coding RNA (BRAP_LNC006096)". Lineage: Eukaryota; Viridiplantae; Streptophyta; Magnoliopsida; Brassicales; Brassicaceae. The record is from RNAcentral.